CCGGCACGGGUGAGUAACACGUAUCCAACCUGCCGUCUACUCUUGGACAGCCUUCUGAAAGGAAGAUUAAUACAAGAUGGCAUCAUGAGUCCGCAUGUUCACAUGAUUAAAGGUAUUCCGGUAGACGAUGGGGAUGCGUUCCAUUAGAUAGUAGGCGGGGUAACGGCCCACCUAGUCUUCGAUGGAUAGGGGUUCUGAGAGGAAGGUCCCCCACAUUGGAACUGAGACACGGUCUAA
RNAcentral lists this ribosomal RNA (237 nucleotides) under uncultured bacterium. RNAcentral's name for it is "partial 16S ribosomal RNA". It matches the Rfam family "Bacterial small subunit ribosomal RNA", at positions 100 to 334 of the family's 1533-position model. The record is from RNAcentral.